CCCUUAGAUGUUCUGGGCCGCACGCGCGCUACACUGUUCGACGCAGCGAGUCUUAACCUUGACCGAAAGGUUUGGGUAAUCUUCAGCAAAGUCGAACGUGAUGGGGAUCGAUCAUUGCAAUUAUUGAUCGUGAACGAGGAAUUCCUAGUAAGUGCAAGUCAUCAGCUUGCGCUGAUUACGUCCCAGCCCUUUGUACACACCGCCCGUCGCUACUACCGAUUGAAUGGUUUAGUGAGAUCUCUGGAUUGACGCUGGCUAGGGGGCGACCCUUGGCCAGACUGUUGAGAAACUGCUCAAACUUGAUCAUUUAGAGGAAGUAAAAGUCGUAACA
RNAcentral lists this ribosomal RNA (331 nucleotides) under uncultured eukaryote. RNAcentral describes it as "partial 18S ribosomal RNA". It matches the Rfam family "Eukaryotic small subunit ribosomal RNA", at positions 1470 to 1796 of the family's 1831-position model. The record is from RNAcentral.